UAGAGUUUGAUCCUGGCUCAGGAUGAACGCUAGCGGCAGGCUUAACACAUGCAAGUCGAGGGGUAACAGAGAAAAGCUUGCUUUUUUGCUGACGACCGGCGCACGGGUGCGUAACGCGUAUGCAAUCUACCUUUUGCUAAGGGAUAGCCCAGAGAAAUUUGGAUUAAUAUCUUAUAGUAUGAUGACUUGGCAUCAAGAUAUCAUUAAAGGUUACGGCAAAAGAUGAGCAUGCGUUCUAUUAGCUAGUUGGUGUGGUAACGGCAUACCAAGGCAACGAUAGAUAGGGGUCCUGAGAGGGAGAUCCCCCACACUGGUACUGAGACACGGACCAGACUCCUACGGGAGGCAGCAGUGAGGAAUAUUGGACAAUGGAGGCAACUCUGAUCCAGCCAUGCCGCGUGCAGGAAGACUGCCCUAUGGGUUGUAAACUGCUUUUAUACAGGAAGAAACACCUCUACGUGUAGAGAUUGACGUAC
RNAcentral lists this ribosomal RNA (476 nucleotides) under Mesoflavibacter sp. EF3C-B1003. RNAcentral's name for it is "bacterial SSU rRNA". It matches the Rfam family "Bacterial small subunit ribosomal RNA", at positions 1 to 478 of the family's 1533-position model. The record is from RNAcentral. Lineage: Bacteria; Pseudomonadati; Bacteroidota; Flavobacteriia; Flavobacteriales; Flavobacteriaceae.